CAGCCGCCGCGGUAAAACGAAGGGUGCAAGCGUUACUCGGAAUUACUGGGCGUAAAGCGUGCGUAGGCGGUGAGUUAAGUCUGCUGUGAAAUCCCCGGGCUCAACCUGGGAAUGGCAGUGGAUACUGGCUCGCUAGAGUGUGUCAGAGGAUGGUGGAAUUCCCGGUGUAGCGGUGAAAUGCGUAGAGAUCGGGAGGAACAUCAGUGGCGAAGGCGGCCAUCUGGGACAACACUGACGCUGAGGCACGAAAGCGUGGGGAGCAAACAGGAUUAGAUACCCCCGUAGUCCCUGUCUCUUAUAA
This 301-nucleotide ribosomal RNA is filed under the name uncultured bacterium. Its description in RNAcentral is "partial 16S ribosomal RNA". It matches the Rfam family "Bacterial small subunit ribosomal RNA", at positions 509 to 809 of the family's 1533-position model. The record is from RNAcentral.